This 797-nucleotide ribosomal RNA is filed under the name uncultured Pelagibacteraceae bacterium. Its description in RNAcentral is "bacterial SSU rRNA". It matches the Rfam family "Bacterial small subunit ribosomal RNA", at positions 44 to 889 of the family's 1533-position model. The record is from RNAcentral. Lineage: Bacteria; Pseudomonadati; Pseudomonadota; Alphaproteobacteria; Candidatus Pelagibacterales; Candidatus Pelagibacteraceae.
ACGCCUUAUACAUGCAAGUCGAACGAAGUAGCAAUACUUAGUGGCAGACGGGUGAGUAACAUGUGGGUAUCUUCCCUUUGGUGAGGAAUAACACGAGGAAACUUGUGCUAAUACCUCAUAAGUCUUUACGGAGAAAGCUUUAAGCGCCAAUGGAUGAGCCUGCACUUGAUUAGUUUGUUGGUGGGGUAAUGGCCUACCAAGACUUUGAUCAAUAGCUGAUCUGAGAGGAUGAUCAGCCACAUUGGGACUGAGACACGGCCCAAACUCCUACGGGAGGCAGCAGUAGGGAAUAUUGCACAAUGGAGGAAACUCUGAUGCAGCGAUGCCGCGUGAGUGAAGAAGGCCUUUGGGUUGUAAAGCUCUUUCGUCGGGGAAGAAAAUGACGGUACCCGAAUAAGAAGGUCCGGCUAACUUCGUGCCAGCAGCCGCGGUAAUACGAAGGGACCUAGCGUAGUUCGGAAUUACUGGGCUUAAAGAGUUCGUAGGUGGUUAAAAAAGUUGGUUGUGAAAUCCCGAAGCUUAACUUCGGAACUGCAAUCAAAACUUUUUAGCUAGAGUAUGAUAGAGGAAAGCAGAAUUUCUAGUGUAGAGGUGAAAUUCGUAGAUAUUAGAAAGAAUACCAAUUGCGAAGGCAGCUUUCUGGAUCAUUACUGACGCUGAGGAACGAAAGCAUGGGUAGCGAAGAGGAUUAGAUACCCUCGUAGUCCAUGCCGUAAACGAUGUGUGUUAGACGUUGGAAAUUUAUUUUCAGUGUCGCAGCGAAAGCAGUAAACACACCGCCUGGGGAGUACGACCGC